RNAcentral lists this ribosomal RNA (209 nucleotides) under uncultured bacterium. RNAcentral's name for it is "partial 16S ribosomal RNA". It matches the Rfam family "Bacterial small subunit ribosomal RNA", at positions 568 to 776 of the family's 1533-position model. The record is from RNAcentral.
AGCGUAGACGGUAGACCAAGUCUGAAGUGAAAGCCCGGGGCUCAACCCCGGAACUGCUUUGGAAACUGGUAAACUAGAGUGCAGGAGAGGUAAGUGGAAUUCCUAGUGUAGCGGUGAAAUGCGUAGAUAUUAGGAGGAACACCAGUGGCGAAGGCGGCUUACUGGACUGUAACUGACGUUGAGGCUCGAAAGCGUGGGGAGGCAAAACA